AAACUGGAGCUAAUACCGGAUGGUUCCUACGGGAUAAAGAUUUAUCGCCAAAAGAUGAGUCCGCGUACGAUUAGCUAGUUGGUGAGGUAAUGGGCUCACCAAGGCGACGAUCGUUAGCUGGUCUGAGAGGAUGAUCAGCCACACUGGGACUGAGACACGGCCCAGACUCCUACGGGAGGCAGCAGUGGGGAAUAUUGGACAAUGGGCGAAAGCCUGAUCCAGCAAUGCCGCGUGAGUGAUGAAGGCCCUAGGGUUGUAAAGCUCUUUUACCAGGGAUGAUAAUGACAGUACCUGGAGAAUAAGCUCCGGCUAACUCCGUG
This 320-nucleotide ribosomal RNA is filed under the name uncultured bacterium. RNAcentral's name for it is "bacterial SSU rRNA". It matches the Rfam family "Bacterial small subunit ribosomal RNA", at positions 154 to 507 of the family's 1533-position model. The record is from RNAcentral.